Molecule: ribosomal RNA, 1170 nt
Filed under: Escherichia coli
Lineage: Bacteria; Pseudomonadati; Pseudomonadota; Gammaproteobacteria; Enterobacterales; Enterobacteriaceae
Description: partial 23S ribosomal RNA
Rfam family: Bacterial large subunit ribosomal RNA
Source: RNAcentral
GGUUAAGCGACUAAGCGUACACGGUGGAUGCCCUGGCAGUCAGAGGCGAUGAAGGACGUGCUAAUCUGCGAUAAGCGUCGGUAAGGUGAUAUGAACCGUUAUAACCGGCGAUUUCCGAAUGGGGAAACCCAGUGUGUUUCGACACACUAUCAUUAACUGAAUCCAUAGGUUAAUGAGGCGAACCGGGGGAACUGAAACAUCUAAGUACCCCGAGGAAAAGAAAUCAACCGAGAUUCCCCCAGUAGCGGCGAGCGAACGGGGAGGAGCCCAGAGCCUGAAUCAGUGUGUGUGUUAGUGGAAGCGUCUGGAAAGGCGCGCGAUACAGGGUGACAGCCCCGUACACAAAAAUGCACAUGCUGUGAGCUCGAUGAGUAGGGCGGGACACGUGGUAUCCUGUCUGAAUAUGGGGGGACCAUCCUCCAAGGCUAAAUACUCCUGACUGACCGAUAGUGAACCAGUACCGUGAGGGAAAGGCGAAAAGAACCCCGGCGAGGGGAGUGAAAAAGAACCUGAAACCGUGUACGUACAAGCAGUGGGAGCACGCUUAGGCGUGUGACUGCGUACCUUUUGUAUAAUGGGUCAGCGACUUAUAUUCUGUAGCAAGGUUAACCGAAUAGGGGAGCCGAAGGGAAACCGAGUCUUAACUGGGCGUUAAGUUGCAGGGUAUAGACCCGAAACCCGGUGAUCUAGCCAUGGGCAGGUUGAAGGUUGGGUAACACUAACUGGAGGACCGAACCGACUAAUGUUGAAAAAUUAGCGGAUGACUUGUGGCUGGGGGUGAAAGGCCAAUCAAACCGGGAGAUAGCUGGUUCUCCCCGAAAGCUAUUUAGGUAGCGCCUCGUGAACUCAUCUCCGGGGGUAGAGCACUGUUUCGGCAAGGGGGUCAUCCCGACUUACCAACCCGAUGCAAACUGCGAAUACCGGAGAAUGUUAUCACGGGAGACACACGGCGGGUGCUAACGUCCGUCGUGAAGAGGGAAACAACCCAGACCGCCAGCUAAGGUCCCAAAGUCAUGGUUAAGUGGGAAACGAUGUGGGAAGGCCCAGACAGCCAGGAUGUUGGCUUAGAAGCAGCCAUCAUUUAAAGAAAGCGUAAUAGCUCACUGGUCGAGUCGGCCUGCGCGGAAGAUGUAACGGGGCUAAACCAUGCACCGAAGCUGCGGCAGCGAC